UGAGCAAUCUGCCCUUCACAUCGGAAUAACCAUUGGAAACGAUGGCUAAUACCGAAUAUGACUUCUGAUCGCAUGAUCUGAAGUGGAAAGCUCCGGCGGUGAAGGAUGAGCUCGCGGCCUAUCAGCUUGUUGGUGAGGUAAUAGCUCACCAAGGCGAUGACGGGUAGCCGGCCUGAGAGGGUGACCGGCCACACUGGGACUGAGACCGAGGCCCA
This 215-nucleotide ribosomal RNA is filed under the name uncultured bacterium. Its description in RNAcentral is "partial 16S ribosomal RNA". It matches the Rfam family "Bacterial small subunit ribosomal RNA", at positions 118 to 333 of the family's 1533-position model. The record is from RNAcentral.